GCAGCAGCGAGCCUGACACAGCACCAGACCCGUUUCAAGCUCCCAAACGACUUUUCCAUAGCCGCGUGCCUCUGUUUUCCAUGCUACGUUUCCUGCUCUGAGGAUGGCCUCUCUUCUUAAUUUGCCUUAUGGACCAAGAUAACUGCUCUAUCUCCAACCAUCGCUUCUGCAUCCCAGACACCUAGAAGGCCACAAGAUAUUUGGAUGUGAGCAACCAGGUGACAGAAGACCAGGGAGCAGGAGCAGAGAAGCUGCUACUAAAGUCCUCUGACAUGAAACUCGGCCCCUCUGCUGACUCAAAAAAGGACUCUCUUCAGGUAUUUUAGAAUUUGCAUGCUAGGACUGAAUGCAAGUGCAUGUAGACUCCCCUCUUUCUUACAAAGUCAGGCUGAAAACUAGAAACUCAUUCUAAUCUGCUGUGGUUUAAAUAAAAUAAUGAGAGUACAUAUGCUUAAGAAUAAGAAGUCUAUUCCAUUGUCAUGUUCACCUUCCCCAAAUUUACUUAUCGUGACUACUUCUUCUUCACCCAAGAUAUCAAGAUGUAUGAUGAAUGUUUUCUGAGAUAAAUUUGUGUUGUGUUAAUAU
Herpailurus yagouaroundi (jaguarundi) is the source of this 585-nucleotide long non-coding RNA. RefSeq lists it as uncharacterized. NCBI's taxonomy places the organism in Eukaryota, Metazoa, Chordata, Mammalia, Carnivora, Felidae. The transcript is spliced from 3 exons. The record is from RefSeq and is a predicted model, not a curated record.